CCUACGGGGAGCAGCAGUGGGGGAUAUUGCACAAUGGGGGGAACCCUGAUGCAGCGACGCCGCGUGGGUGAAGGAGCGCUUCGGCGCGUAAAGCCCUAUCGGCAGGGAAGAAGAUGACGGUACCUGACCAAGAAGCCCCGGCUAACUACGUGCCAGCAGCCGCGGUAAUACGUAGGGGGCAAGCGUUAUCCGGAUUUACUGGGGGUAAAGGGGGCGCAGACGGCAAUGCAAGCCAGGAGUGAAUGCCCAGGGCGCAACCCCGGGACUGCUCUUGGAACUGCAUGGCUGGAGUACAGGAGUGGUAGGCGGAAUUCCUGGAGUAGCGGUGAAAUGUGUAGAUAGUAGGAGGAACACCAGUGGCGAAGGCGGCUUACUGGACUGUAACUGACGUUGAGGCUCGAAAGCGUGGGGAGCAAACAGGAUUAGAUACCCCUGUAGUC
This 440-nucleotide ribosomal RNA is filed under the name uncultured bacterium. RNAcentral's name for it is "partial 16S ribosomal RNA". It matches the Rfam family "Bacterial small subunit ribosomal RNA", at positions 338 to 795 of the family's 1533-position model. The record is from RNAcentral.